Non-coding RNA from Lolium perenne, 370 nucleotides. NCBI's taxonomy places the organism in Eukaryota, Viridiplantae, Streptophyta, Magnoliopsida, Poales, Poaceae. The record is from RefSeq and is a predicted model, not a curated record.
GAUCAAGAUCUGGUCAGAUCUGAAUUUGUAGAAUUAAACCAGGAGCUUGGAGACGAAUUUUUGAAUGAAACCAACUGGGGGAUAAUUGGUUUAUACCAUGGUGAUAACCGAGAGAGGCAAUUGCUAUGUUGUGAUGCACUCAUGCCUCUACUAGAUGCGAACAAUUCCGGAGAAGAAGAAGAAGAAGUGGAAUCGGAUCGGAAGAUUAUUUAUAUUGUUGGAAUUCUUAUAUUGAUGGAGUUGACGAAGUCCGGGGACAAAUAAGCCAAGGCAAGCCAUCUUUUGAUCUCUGAUUCGGUGUCUAGUUGGAUGUCAUUUGUUGAUGUCCAAAGCACCUUAACUCUGUGUGUUAUUCUCUCUAUUUAUGUCA